RNAcentral lists this ribosomal RNA (368 nucleotides) under uncultured organism. RNAcentral describes it as "bacterial SSU rRNA". It matches the Rfam family "Bacterial small subunit ribosomal RNA", at positions 526 to 896 of the family's 1533-position model. The record is from RNAcentral.
CGGAGGGUGCAAGCGUUAUCCGGAUUCACUGGGUUUAAAGGGUGCGUAGGUGGGCAGGUAAGUCCGUGGUGAAAUCUCUGAGCUUAACUCAGAAACUGCCAUGGAUACUAUUUGUCUUGAAUAUUGUGGAGGUAAGCGGAAUAUGUCAUGUAGCGGUGAAAUGCUUAGAUAUGACAUAGAACACCAAUUGCGAAGGCAGCUUACUACACAGUUAUUGACGCUGAGGCACGAAAGCGUGGGGAUCAAACAGGAUUAGAUACCCUGGUAGUCCACGCCCUAAACGAUGAUUACUCGACAUCAGCGAUACACUGUUGGUGUCUGAGCGAAAGCGUUAAGUAAUCCACCUGGGAAGUACGACCGCAAGGUUG